AGACCCGAAACCCGGUGAUCUAGCCAUGGGCAGGUUGAAGGUUGGGUAACACUAACUGGAGGACCGAACCGACUAAUGUUGAAAAAUUAGCGGAUGACCUGUGGCUGGGGGUGAAAGGCCAAUCAAACCGGGAGAUAGCUGGUUCUCCCCGAAAGCUAUUUAGGUAGCGCCUCGUGAAUUCAUCUCCGGGGGUAGAGCACUGUUUCGGCUAGGGGGCCAUCCCGGCUUACCAACCCGAUGCAAACUGCGAAUACCGGAGAAUGUUAUCACGGGAGACACACGGCGGGUGCUAACGUCCGUCGUGAAGAGGGAAACAACCCAGACCGCCAGCUAAGGUCCCAAAGUCAUGGUUAAGUGGGAAACGAUGUGGGAAGGCCCAGACAGCCAGGAUGUUGGCUUAGAAGCAGCCAUCAUUUAAAGAAAGCGUAAUAGCUCACUGGUCGAGUCGGCCUGCGCGGAAGAUGUAACGGGGCUAAACCAUGCACCGAAGCUGCGGCAGCGACGCUGAUGCGUUGUUGGGUAGGGGAGCGUUCUGUAAGCCUGCGAAGGUGGCCUGUGAGGGUUGCUGGAGGUAUCAGAAGUGCGAAUGCUGACAUAAGUAACGAUAAAGCGGGUGAAAAGCCCGCUCGCCGGAAGACCAAGGGUUCCUGUCCAACGUUAAUCGGGGCAGGGUGAGUCGACCCCUAAGGCGAGGCCGAAAGGCGUAGUCGAUGGGAAACGGGUUAAUAUUCCCGUACUUGGUGUUACUGCGAAGGGGGGACGGAGAAGGCUAUGUUGGCCGGGCGACGGUUGUCCCGGUUUAAGCGUGUAGGUGUGUGUUCCAGGUAAAUCCGGUUCACUUUAACACUGAGGCGUGAUGACGAGGCACUACGGUGCUGA
RNAcentral lists this ribosomal RNA (879 nucleotides) under Salmonella enterica subsp. enterica serovar Chester. RNAcentral describes it as "partial 23S ribosomal RNA". It matches the Rfam family "Bacterial large subunit ribosomal RNA", at positions 711 to 1588 of the family's 2925-position model. The record is from RNAcentral. RNAcentral also lists the same sequence under 1 other name. Lineage: Bacteria; Pseudomonadati; Pseudomonadota; Gammaproteobacteria; Enterobacterales; Enterobacteriaceae.